CUUGGAAGCCCUUUUCAUUGUUUUUGGUUAUUUGAAUUGUAAUUUAGUUCUUUGGUUUGUUUUCUUGAUUCUGGUAGCUGUUGACUUGAGCUCAAAUGUAAGUACGUGCAUUAACAAGGAAUUUCCUCACCAGUCCAAUUUCAGUAUCUAGAUGUUCUUAGUUAUUAGGCCCUUGUAUAUUCUUAAGGCAAGCGGCUUGGCUGUACCAUUAACUACAAGCCUUUGUCAUGCUACAAUUCAGACACAAUAUGGAAUGUCUCUACUUGUGAUGCCUACAGCAGUUAUUUAUCCUAUAUUUUAUCAUUUUUCA
Daucus carota subsp. sativus is the source of this 310-nucleotide long non-coding RNA. RefSeq lists it as uncharacterized. NCBI's taxonomy places the organism in Eukaryota, Viridiplantae, Streptophyta, Magnoliopsida, Apiales, Apiaceae. The transcript is spliced from 2 exons. The record is from RefSeq and is a predicted model, not a curated record.